GGUGUGCGGAGGAGUGAUGGCAGCUGCGCACAGUAGGCAGGAGAUGUGACUUUGCGCGUCUGUCCUCUGCCUGCUGGGGUUUACACCCAUUUGGCUUCACGGGCUCAGCAUGUUCUUCUGGGACCAGAGCCUCAGGCUUUCACGAAAGAAGUAGCGAUGCCUGGUGCUGCCAAAGGCUACCGAGGAUGGGAGAACUAGACCAGCAGCCCUGCAGAAUCAAACACAGCUGUCUGAGGAGGAUUCUCUGCUGUCUUGCUCUGAGCAGGCCACACAACUCGGUCCUCAGCUCCAGCAACCCAGGCCCGCAUGCUGGCAGUGCCUCUUAGUGUGGGAAGUACUGAUGUGUAGCAAUAACCAGACUCUCAGCAGAAACUUGACAGGAGCAGAGCUGCAGAAGCAGAGGCCGUGGGGUCAGCGGGAUGCAGGCCCGUCACUCAGCUCCCAGCCGCACCUGCAGAAGAGAGAACAGGCCAGUGAGAUUCUGUGGGACUGUUGCCGGGGAGGGGGGCCUGGGCUCUGGGCACUCACCAGGCCUCAGAGGGGCUGUGUGUCCUCAUGUCCUGCCUGUGUGGGGGCCCUCAGCAGCAGCGGCAGCACAGCAGCCUGCGGGCCUUGCUAUGGCGGAGGGGGAUCCAGAGGGAGGGGGCACUGCUGGCCACUGGACCCUGGCUGCUGGGGGGAACGGCUUCAGGGGAGGGGAGGACAGAGCCAGGGCAGCUGUUCUGAGGGCUGUUGGGAGGCACCAGUGGGUGGGCCUGGCUGGGGAUGGACUCAAAGUCUGGCAGAUGGAAGUGCUGGGUGUUGGGGGCCGCCGGUGCAGGGGCAGGGCGCAGGGUGGACAGGACUGGCAUACUGGAGCUCUUGCAGGGCUUGCCAAGCUCCCAGCCUCUGUGCUCCAGGGCAGGUGGGGAAGACAGACAGGUUCGCCAGGGAAACCGGAGCAAGGGCAGGCUGGGCGGGACCGUGUCCUCAGCGGGCUGGGGUUCCAGGUCUGGUUCUGUUGGCGCGGAGCCCUGGGUCACCCACGGGUGACUUAGGAUCUGUCUCCAGCCCAUUCGCUGCCGAGGGUCUAUCUGUAACAUGCCUUCCAGCAGGCGUCCCAGUAGUGAGGGGAGCGCC
Long non-coding RNA from Erinaceus europaeus (western European hedgehog), 1119 nucleotides. RefSeq lists it as uncharacterized. NCBI's taxonomy places the organism in Eukaryota, Metazoa, Chordata, Mammalia, Eulipotyphla, Erinaceidae. The transcript is spliced from 5 exons. The record is from RefSeq and is a predicted model, not a curated record.